UAAGGAAUAUUGGUCAAUGGACGCAAGUCUGAACCAGCCAUGCCGCGUGGAGGAUGAAGGCCCUCUGGGUUGUAAACUUCUUUUAUGGGGGACGAAACCUCUUAGUCUUAAGAGACUGACGGUACCUCAGGAAUAAGCACCGGCUAACUCCGUGCCAGCAGCCGCGGUAAUACGGAGGGUGCAAGCGUUAUCCGGAUUCACUGGGUUUAAAGGGUGCGUAGGAGGGCAGGUAAGUCCGUGGUGAAAUCCUAGAGCUUAACUCUAGAACUGCCGUGGAUACUACCGGUCUUGAAUUCUGUGGAGGUGAGCGGAAUAUGUCAUGUAGCGGUGAAAUGCUUAGAUAUGACAUAGAACACCAAUUGCGAAGGCAGCUCACUACGCAGCGAUUGACUCUGAGGCACGAAAGCGUGGGAUCAAACA
This 420-nucleotide ribosomal RNA is filed under the name uncultured Chitinophagaceae bacterium. Its description in RNAcentral is "bacterial SSU rRNA". It matches the Rfam family "Bacterial small subunit ribosomal RNA", at positions 355 to 774 of the family's 1533-position model. The record is from RNAcentral. Lineage: Bacteria; Pseudomonadati; Bacteroidota; Chitinophagia; Chitinophagales; Chitinophagaceae.